RNAcentral lists this ribosomal RNA (300 nucleotides) under uncultured Chromatiales bacterium. RNAcentral's name for it is "bacterial SSU rRNA". It matches the Rfam family "Bacterial small subunit ribosomal RNA", at positions 115 to 416 of the family's 1533-position model. Lineage: Bacteria; Pseudomonadati; Pseudomonadota; Gammaproteobacteria; Chromatiales. The record is from RNAcentral.
GCUUAGGAAUCUGCCCAGUAGCGGGGAGUAGCUCGGGAACGUCGAAUUAAUACCGCAUACGCCCUACGGGGAAGGACAAGGGAGUCUUCGGACCUUGCACUAUUGGAUGAGCCUAAGUCAGAUUAGCUUGUUGGUGGGGUAAAAGGACCUACCAAGGCGACGAUCUGUAGCUGGUCUGAGAGGACGAUCAGCCACACUGGGACUGAGACACGGCCCAGACUCCUACGGGAGGCAGCAGUGGGAAGUAUUGGACAAUGGGGCGAACCCUGAUCCAGCAAUGCCGCGUGUGUGAAGAAGGCC